Onychostoma macrolepis is the source of this 1006-nucleotide long non-coding RNA. RefSeq lists it as uncharacterized. The record is from RefSeq and is a predicted model, not a curated record. Lineage: Eukaryota; Metazoa; Chordata; Actinopteri; Cypriniformes; Cyprinidae. The transcript has 3 exons.
UUGACCGCGAGCAUUUAAAGCGACAGUGCGCGCUAAUAAUAAACUGACCAUAUAGUCCGUUGGUGUGGACAAUCGUUAGCGUAGUUAGCCUAUGUAUAAUCGUCCUUGGUGUGAACGGAUCUUAAAAUAUGUGGUGUAGGCCUAUGUUAUCUCACUUGAAGAGACAUGCACGUUUUUUUAAAGCAUAAAUGAUACUUUUUGAAGUGGCCCCUGACGGUUAUGUUUGCUAAAACGGCUGCUAACGGUUUUUCGACAGUCUGCUCUCUUAUAAAGUUCAGUGGUCAUCAGAAGCUUCUGCAGGGUGCUGAAGAUCAAUGUGGACAGGUGUGUUACAGCUGCUCCUCUGGUUAAUGGUCUUCAUCAGCGUCUCCCAGGGUCUGCUGAGUAACGGGAAGGAGCUGAAGGAGGAGCUCGGGAGACAUUUGCUUCUCCAUCAGUUCAGCUGCUCUUCUCACACCAGCUGCUGGAGGACGGAGAGGAGGAAGACAGAGUGGGAGCGACAGAUGAGUGAAAGAAAACAAAAAGACCUUCUCAAAUAAAGCCUUGCCCAAUAUGGACACUUAAGCAUGUCUGGAUUACUGCAUUAGAUAUCCAACCAAUUGGCAUCUGCAAGCAAAUGCAGCCAAAACUUUUCUGAACCAUCUGUGUACGAUAUUAAAUUUGAUAAACUAGUGUUGGUGAUGCAUGAAGUCAGCUGAACAGUCCAUUAAUGACAAACACAAAUGAGCUUCAUUUUGAAUGUUAUAUCUAUAGUUUUAUCUUUUUGUGAAAUGUGCAUGUGCUUCUAUAAAAUGGUCACCUUAAUGCAACUUUUUGCCUGCUCAAAAUUCAAUAUAAAGACACAAUUUUGCAUAAAAUCCAGACUUAUCAAAGCAUAGAUAUAACUACUGAAUAAAUGCAUUUAUGCCACUUCAGAAGCGCUUCUGUGUCACAUUUGCAGAGUAAAUUUGGCUUAAUUUGAUAUUUUAUCUAAUGCAAUGAUGUUCAGACAUCUUAGAGUGUGGCC